This 265-nucleotide ribosomal RNA is filed under the name uncultured bacterium. RNAcentral describes it as "partial 16S ribosomal RNA". It matches the Rfam family "Bacterial small subunit ribosomal RNA", at positions 29 to 289 of the family's 1533-position model. The record is from RNAcentral.
AUGAGCGCUGGCAGUGUGUCUAAGACAUGCAAGUCGUGCGGACUUCAUCGGGUAGCAAUACUUGGCGAAGUUAGCGGCGAACGGGUGAGUAACACGUGAGUGACCUACCCCAAAGUGCGGAAUAACACCGGGAAACUGGUGCUAAUGUCGCAUGUGGACCCACCUCCUGUGGUGUGUCUAAAGCCGUAAGGCGCUUUGGGAUGGGCUCGCGGCACAUCAGCUAGUUGGUAGGGUAAUGGCCUACCAAGGCAACGACGCGUAGCCG